CUUGAUGGCGACCGGCGCACGGGUGCGUAACGCGUAUGCAACCUACCUGUAACAGGGGGAGUAACACUGAGAAAUCGGUACUAAUACCGCAUAACACUAUGAGAGGCAUCUCUUGUGGUUGAAAGUUUCGGCGGUUACAGAUGGGCAUGCGUUGUAUUAGCUGGUUGGUAAGGUAACGGCUUACCAAGGCGACGAUACAUAGGGGGACUGAGAGGUUAACCCCCCACCAUUGGUACUGAGACACGGACCAAACUCCUACGGAAGGCAGCAG
Molecule: ribosomal RNA, 271 nt
Filed under: uncultured bacterium
Lineage: Bacteria
Description: partial 16S ribosomal RNA
Rfam family: Bacterial small subunit ribosomal RNA
Source: RNAcentral